RNAcentral lists this ribosomal RNA (460 nucleotides) under uncultured bacterium. Its description in RNAcentral is "partial 16S ribosomal RNA". It matches the Rfam family "Bacterial small subunit ribosomal RNA", at positions 338 to 795 of the family's 1533-position model. The record is from RNAcentral.
CCUACGGGGUGCAGCAGUGAGGAAUAUUGGUCAAUGGACGAGAGUCUGAACCAGCCAAGUAGCGUGAAGGAUGACUGCCCUAUGGGUUGUAAACUUCUUUUAUAUGGGAAUAAAAUGUCCCACGUGUGGGAUUUUGUAUGUACCAUAUGAAUAAGGAUCGGCUAACUCCGUGCCAGCAGCCGCGGUAAUACGGAGGAUCCGGGCGUUAUCCGGAUUUAUUGGGUUUAAAGGGAGCGUAGGUGGAUUGUUAAGUCAGUUGUGAAAGUUUGCGGCUCAACCGUAGAAGUGCAGUUGAAACUGGCAGUCUUGAGUGCAGUAGAGGUGGGCGGAAUUCGUGGUGUAGCGGUGAAAUGCUUAGAUAUCACGAAGAACUCCGAUUGCGAAGGCAGCUCACUGUACUGCAACUGACACUGAGGCUCGAAAGUGUGGGUAUCGAACAGGAUUAGAUACCCGAGUAGUC